GAUGAACGCUGGCGGCGUGCCUAAUACAUGCAAGUCGAGCGAACAGACGAGGAGCUUGCUCCUCUGACGUUAGCGGCGGACGGGUGAGUAACACGUGGAUAACCUACCUAUAAGACUGGGAUAACUUCGGGAAACCGGAGCUAAUACCGGAUAAUAUAUUGAACCGCAUGGUUCAAUAGUGAAAGACGGUUUUGCUGUCACUUAUAGAUGGAUCCGCGCCGCAUUAGCUAGUUGGUAAGGUAACGGCUUACCAAGGCAACGAUGCGUAGCCGACCUGAGAGGGUGAUCGGCCACACUGGAACUGAGACACGGUCCAGACUCCUACGGGAGGCAGCAGUAGGGAAUCUUCCGCAAUGGGCGAAAGCUUGACGGAGCAACGCCGCGUGAGUGAUGAAGGUCUUCGGAUCGUAAAACUCUGUUAUUAGGGAAGAACAAAUGUGUAAGUAACUAUGCACGUCUUGACGGUACGUAAUCAGAAAGCCACGGCUAACUACGUG
This 497-nucleotide ribosomal RNA is filed under the name uncultured bacterium. RNAcentral describes it as "partial 16S ribosomal RNA". It matches the Rfam family "Bacterial small subunit ribosomal RNA", at positions 28 to 507 of the family's 1533-position model. The record is from RNAcentral.